AGGGAAAUAGCCCAGUGGUAGAGUGCAUACUUAAGUGUGCAUGAGGUCCUGGGUUCAAUCCCCAGUACCUCCA
RNAcentral lists this transfer RNA (73 nucleotides) under Camelus bactrianus (Bactrian camel). It matches the Rfam family "tRNA". From Rfam's summary of the family: Transfer RNA (tRNA) molecules are approximately 80 nucleotides in length. Their secondary structure includes four short double-helical elements and three loops (D, anti-codon, and T loops). Lineage: Eukaryota; Metazoa; Chordata; Mammalia; Artiodactyla; Camelidae. The record is from Rfam by way of RNAcentral. RNAcentral also lists the same sequence under 2 other names.